Otolemur garnettii (small-eared galago) is the source of this 175-nucleotide small nuclear RNA. Its record names the gene U2. It matches the Rfam family "U2 spliceosomal RNA". Rfam says of the family: U2 is a small nuclear RNA (snRNA) component of the spliceosome (involved in pre-mRNA splicing). Complementary binding between U2 snRNA (in an area lying towards the 5' end but 3' to hairpin I) and the branchpoint sequence (BPS) of the intron results the bulging out of an unpaired adenosine, on the BPS, which initiates a nucleophilic attack at the intronic 5' splice site, thus starting the first of two transesterification reactions that mediate splicing. Lineage: Eukaryota; Metazoa; Chordata; Mammalia; Primates; Galagidae. The record is from Ensembl.
AUUACAGGCAUGACCUGGCACGCCCAGCCUAGAAUCUCUUCUCAUCAGUUUAAUAUCUGGUAUGUCCUCUAUCGGAGGACAGUAUAUUAAAUAAUUCUUUUUUGAGAUAGAGUCCCACUAUGUUGCCCUCGGCAGAGUGCUGUGGUGUCACAGCUCACAGCAACUUCAAACUCUU